UCCCUGGUGGUCCAGUGGUUAGGAUGCUGCACUUCCACUGCAGGGGGGCACAGGUUCGAUCCCUGGCCAGGGAA
Molecule: non-coding RNA, 74 nt
Organism: Aethalodelphis obliquidens (Pacific white-sided dolphin)
Lineage: Eukaryota; Metazoa; Chordata; Mammalia; Artiodactyla; Delphinidae
Source: the annotation of a RefSeq genome assembly